UUAGAAAUAAUUCUAUAGACAUUUGACACAAUAGUCACAAAUUGAAGUGACAUUGUCGGUGUGUUUUCAAGUACCGAAAGAAAUACUAUGAAUUUAUUACAAAAUGUUUAUGUUGUGUACAAUGCCGUUAAAUUAACUGUAUGUCAGUCCUGUGAAGAAAAUUUUGGAACAAGGAUGUCAAGAAAAUCGUGGGUUCACGAGCAAUGAUGGUAUAAAUGGGCAGUUCGUUAUUGUGUAUAGUUGAAAAACAAAGCGCAGGAAAUGACCUCAGAAGACUUCUUCGGAUCUGCGUAAUCAUGGUAAUGAGAAGAACAGCCCAGAGUUUCGCAAUAUGAAUACUAUAAUCAACUUACAAAACAGAAAUGACAAAACAUCCCUUGCCUUAGAUUAUACAAAUAAGAUAAAGAUUCGUCAGUGGCUUACUAUUCAACUGACACCGAUAGACUAUAGAAAUGAUUAACUACAAUUUGGCAGUAUGAUAAAAAAUAAUCUGCUUUUGUCAUAGUAUAAUCUUGCACUGACAUAUAACUAUGUGGAUUAAUUGACAUAUCGUAGUCGCUCAGAAGUCACAAACUUCUAAAAAUCGAGUUGAACAGAGACAACAAAGUUGCCUCACGAAAACAACAUAUAUAUAAUUUUUAAUUCAUCACGUACAUUUUGUCACUUAAAUGACGUACGCUUCCUAUUCCAAAUGCUUUUAGUUUGACGCUUGUUGUUUCAAAAGACCGGUGCACUCUGGGGUGCUUUGUAAAAAAUUUGACAAGGGAGCACUCAAACAUAUAUUCUAGCAGAAUUUUUUCGUGAAAAUGUAAAUAUAACAAUUGUGAAUGAAAUUAAAAUAAUGCCAGAAAUUGUUAGCAACAAUUUA
Molecule: long non-coding RNA, 868 nt
Organism: Xenia sp. Carnegie-2017
Lineage: Eukaryota; Metazoa; Cnidaria; Anthozoa; Malacalcyonacea; Xeniidae
Exons: 2
Source: RefSeq, a predicted model, not a curated record